This 456-nucleotide ribosomal RNA is filed under the name uncultured bacterium. RNAcentral's name for it is "bacterial SSU rRNA". It matches the Rfam family "Bacterial small subunit ribosomal RNA", at positions 340 to 786 of the family's 1533-position model. The record is from RNAcentral.
UACGGAAGGCAGCAGGUGGGGAAUAUUGCACAAUGGGCGAAAGCCUGAUGCAGCUAUGCCGCGUGUAUGAAGAAGGCCUUAGGGUUGUAAAGUACUUUCAUCGGGGAGGAAAAACAAAACUAAUAAUUUUAUUUCUUGACGUUACCCGAAAAAGAAGCACCGGCUAACUCCGUGCCAGCAGCCGCGGUAAUACGGAGGGUGCUAGCGUUAAUCAGAAUUACUGGGCGUAAAGAGCACGUAGGUGGUUUUUUUAAGUCAGAUGUGAAAUCCCUGGGCUUAACCUAGGAACUGCAUUUUGAAACUGAAAUACUAGAGUAUCGUAGAGGGAGGUAGAAUUCUAGGUGUAGCGGUGAAAUGCGUAGAUAUCUGGAGGAAUACCUGUGGCGAAAGCGGCCUCCUAAACGAAUACUGACACUGAGGUGCGAAAGCGUGGGGAGCAAACAGGGAUUAGAUACC